CCUAUUCACGAUUACUUGCCCC
Molecule: microRNA, 22 nt
Filed under: Gadus morhua (Atlantic cod)
Lineage: Eukaryota; Metazoa; Chordata; Actinopteri; Gadiformes; Gadidae
Description: gmo-miR-26a-2-3p
Gene: gmo-miR-26a-2-3p
Source: miRBase by way of RNAcentral